UCUUGGUCAAUUUAGAGGAAGUAAAAGUCGUAACAAGGUUUCCGUAGGUGAACCUGCGGAAGGAUCAUUAUUGAAUGAAUGUAGAGUUGGUUGUCGCUGGCCCUUUCGGGGGCAUGUGCACGCCUUCUCUUUCAUCCACACACACCUGUGCACUUGUGAGACGGAGGACUUUAAUUAGUUUUCCGUCUACUUAAUUACACAAACUCAUUUAAUUAAAUUGAAUGUAAUUGAUGUAACGCAUCAUUAGAACUAAGUUUCAACAACGGAUCUCUUGGCUCUCGCAUCGAUGAAGAACGCAGCGAAAUGCGAUAAGUAAUGUGAAUUGCAGAAUUCAGUGAAUCAUCGAAUCUUUGAACGCACCUUGCGCUCCUUGGUAUUCCUUGGAGCAUGCCUGUUUGAGUAUCAUGAAAUUCUCAAAGUCAAUCUUUUGUUAAUUCAACUGGUUUGCUUUGGACUUGGAGGUCUUUGCAGAUUUCACRUCUGCUCCUCUUAAAUUUAUUAGCUGGAUCUCAGYAUAUGCUUGGUUCCACUCGGCGUGAUAAGUAUCACUCGCUGAGGACACUGUAAAAAGUGGCCAGGAAAUGCAGAUGAACCGCUUCUAACAGUCUAUUAAGUUAGACAAUUAAUUUUAAGAUCUGAUCUCAAAUCAGGUAGGACUACCCGCUGAACUUAA
This 673-nucleotide ribosomal RNA is filed under the name uncultured Ceratobasidiaceae. RNAcentral's name for it is "eukaryotic LSU rRNA". The stretch from base 252 to 405 matches the Rfam family "5.8S ribosomal RNA". The record is from RNAcentral. Lineage: Eukaryota; Fungi; Basidiomycota; Agaricomycetes; Cantharellales; Ceratobasidiaceae.